This 523-nucleotide ribosomal RNA is filed under the name uncultured Glomus. Its description in RNAcentral is "SSU rRNA". It matches the Rfam family "Eukaryotic small subunit ribosomal RNA", at positions 561 to 1085 of the family's 1831-position model. The record is from RNAcentral. Lineage: Eukaryota; Fungi; Glomeromycota; Glomeromycetes; Glomerales; Glomeraceae.
CUGGUGCCAGCAGCCGCGGUAAUUCCAGCUCCAAUAGCGUAUAUUAAAGUUGUUGCAGUUAAAAAGCUCGUAGUUGAAUUUCGGGAUCAUCAGGUUGGUCGUGCCUCUGGUAUGUACUGAUUUCGAUGGUUCCUCCUUCUUGUAGAACCGUAAUGCCAUUAAUUUGGUGUUGCGGGAAAACAGGACUGUUACUUUGAAAAAAUUAGAGUGUUUAAAGCAGGCAAUCGCUUGAAUACAUUAGCAUGGAAUAAUGAAAUAGGACGUUUGAUCCUAUUUUGUUGGUUUCUAGGAUUGACGUAAUGAUUAAUAGGGAUAGUUGGGGGCAUUAGUAUUCAAUUGUCAGAGGUGAAAUUCUUGGAUUUAUUGAAGACUAACUACUGCGAAAGCAUUUGCCAAGGAUGUUUUCAUUAAUCAAGAACGAAAGUUAGGGGAUCGAAGACGAUCAGAUACCGUCGUAGUCUUAACCAUAAACUAUGCCGACUAGGGAUCGGAUGAUGUUAAUUUUUUAAUGACUCAUUCGGCG